CCUAGAGGAUUAAGAAGGCAGGGCCUGCUGAGUGAGGCCCUGCCGAUACCAUCCUCUUAGAGAAAUGUGAUGAGGAGAGGGGUCCAGCUUGCAGAAGAGCGGAGACCUCACUGUGCCAUCCGACAGCC
Molecule: non-coding RNA, 128 nt
Organism: Varanus komodoensis (Komodo dragon)
Lineage: Eukaryota; Metazoa; Chordata; Lepidosauria; Squamata; Varanidae
Source: Ensembl